This 400-nucleotide ribosomal RNA is filed under the name uncultured Propionibacterium sp. RNAcentral's name for it is "bacterial SSU rRNA". It matches the Rfam family "Bacterial small subunit ribosomal RNA", at positions 958 to 1356 of the family's 1533-position model. The record is from RNAcentral. Lineage: Bacteria; Bacillati; Actinomycetota; Actinomycetes; Propionibacteriales; Propionibacteriaceae.
AACGCGAAGAACCUUACCUGGGUUUGACAUGGAUCGGGAGUGCUCAGAGAUGGGUGUGCCUCUUUUGGGGUCGGUUCACAGGUGGUGCUUGGCUGUCGUCAGCUCGUGUCGUGAGAUGUUGGGUUAAGUCCCGCAACGAGCGCAACCCUUGUUCACUGUUGCCAGCACGUUAUAGUGGGGACUCAGUGGAGACCGCCGGGGUCAACUCGGAGGAAGGUGGGGAUGACGUCAAGUCAUCAUGCCCCUUAUGUCCAGGGCUUCACGCAUGCUACAAUGGCUGGUACAGAGAGUGGCGAGCCUGUGAGGGUGAGCGAAUCUCGGAAAGCCGGUCUCAGUUCGGAUUGGGGUCUGCAACUCGACCUCAUGAAGUCGGAGUCGCUAGUAAUCGCAGAUCAGCACG